Long non-coding RNA from Bufo bufo (common toad), 655 nucleotides. RefSeq lists it as uncharacterized. The record is from RefSeq and is a predicted model, not a curated record. NCBI's taxonomy places the organism in Eukaryota, Metazoa, Chordata, Amphibia, Anura, Bufonidae. The transcript has 3 exons.
CAGGACACAGGCAAAAGUACAAGCGAAGACCGACACAGGGCACCAUUCAUUCUGCGUAUAUAAACACAAGUUGAGCUGGAAGAAGUCUUCAUGGCAGUCUGGGCUGGAUGGGGAAGAAAACUGAAAGUGAGAUUCCAAUCUGGGGGGAUAUCACUGGAUACUCUACUGUACUGCAUACUACAUGCACUAAGAGGAGCCAGAUGGAGCAACAACAGGAAGAAAUUACAGCAGGUACUGAUCUCUCCUUUACCGUGCCACUGAAAGGGCGCAGAGUGGUAGAAGCUACUUGUACAUAUAAACAGUAUUCUAUAUUGUAAGUUAUGCUUAUACACAGUACGUUACAUAAUAAAUCAGAAGAGAGCAUUUGCCUUGUGAAGGUGCCAGUAUAUUUGGUUCUGCUUUAGAUAAAGGUCAUUACUACCACAUAAGCUUAAAGUCUAUAUAUCUUACUUGUAUAAACUUUUUUUCUAGCAUCUUUUUGUCUUCUCUAGUUUGGCUCGUGUCAGUACUACAGCUUCAGUUCUCAAUAAAAUGCUGGACCAAACUCUCUUUAGACCAAAAAUAACUUACCGUAUUUUUCGCCCUAUAAGACGCACCUAGGUUUUUGAGGAGGAAAAUAAGAAAAAAAAAUUUUUAACCAAAAGGUGUGCUUUUG